Molecule: unclassified non-coding RNA, 200 nt
Filed under: Phomatodes sp.
Lineage: Eukaryota; Fungi; Ascomycota; Dothideomycetes; Pleosporales; Didymellaceae
Description: partial internal transcribed spacer 2
Source: RNAcentral
UUAAGUUCAGCGGGUAUCCCUACCUGACUCGAGGUCAAGAGUGUAAAAAUGUACUUUUGGACGUCGUCGUUCUGAGUGCAAAGCGCGAGAUGUACUGCGCUCCGAAAUCAAUACGCCGGCUGCCAAUUGUUUUGAGGCGAGUCUGCGCGCAAAGGCGAGACAAACACCCAACACCAAGCAAGGCUUGAAGGUACAAAUGA